AGAGUGAACGCUGGCGGCAGGCCUAAUACAUGCAAGUCGAACGGCAGCACGGCAGAGCUUGCUCUGUGGGUGGCGAGUGGCGGACGGGUGAGGAAUACAUGGGAAUCUGCCCAGUCGUGGGGAUAACGUAGAAGAAAUUUACGCUAAUACCGCAUACGAUCCAAGGAUGAAAGCGGGGACCGUAAGGCCUCGCGCGAGUGGAGCGGCUGAUAUCAGAUUAGCGUUGUUGGUGGAAGGUAAAAGCUACCACCGAAGGCGACGAUCGUGUAGUCUUGGUUGAGACGAACGACCAGCCAC
This 297-nucleotide ribosomal RNA is filed under the name uncultured soil bacterium. RNAcentral describes it as "partial 16S ribosomal RNA". It matches the Rfam family "Bacterial small subunit ribosomal RNA", at positions 26 to 311 of the family's 1533-position model. The record is from RNAcentral.